RNAcentral lists this ribosomal RNA (407 nucleotides) under uncultured cyanobacterium. RNAcentral's name for it is "bacterial SSU rRNA". It matches the Rfam family "Bacterial small subunit ribosomal RNA", at positions 505 to 918 of the family's 1533-position model. The record is from RNAcentral. Lineage: Bacteria; Bacillati; Cyanobacteriota.
GUGUCAGCAGCCGCGGUAAUACAGAGGGUGCAAGCGUUGUCCGGAAUGAUUGGGCGUAAAGCAUCUGUAGGUGGUUUCUAAAGUCAACUGUUAAAUCCCAGAGCUCAACUUUGGCCAAGCAGUUGAGUACUUAGAGACUUGAGUACGUUAGGGGUAGAGGGAAUUCCUUGUUUAGCGGUGAAAUGCAUAGAGAUAAGGAAGAACACCAGUGGCGAAAGCGCUCCACUGGGCCGUAACUGACACUGAGAGAUGAAAGUUAGGGGAGCGAAACUGAUUAGAUACCCUUGGAGUCCUAACUGUAAACGAUGGAUACUAAGUGCUGUCAAAAACAGUGCUGUAGCUAACGCGUUAAGUACCCCGCCUGGGGAGUAUGCUCGCAAGAGUGAAACUCAAAUGAAUUGACGGGG